Molecule: ribosomal RNA, 1342 nt
Filed under: marine metagenome
Description: bacterial LSU rRNA
Rfam family: Bacterial large subunit ribosomal RNA
Source: RNAcentral
GUGCGUAAUAGCUCACUGAUCAAGCGCUUUUGCGCCGAAAAUGACCGGAACUAAGCUUUUUGCCGAAGCUGUGGCUACAGCACAUUGCUGCUGUAGGGUAGAGGAGCGUUCCGCCCAGGGGGAAGCCAAGUGCGUAAGCCGCGGUGGACAGGGCGGAAGUGAGAAUGUCAGCUUGAGUAACGUAAACACUGGUGAGAAUCCAGUGCCCCGAAAACUCAAGGGUUCCUGCGGAAGGCUCGUCCGCGCAGGGUCAGUCAGGACCUAAGGUGAGGCCGAAAGGCGUAAUUGAUGGCAAGAAGGUUUAUAUUCCUUCACUAGUCUAGGCUUAGUCCUGAGGGACGAACAAAUGACACCAGGCACACCGUCCACGCAUGGCAGCAUGGACAUACACGGUGUGGGUUGCUGUUCUUUGUUCCAAGAAAAGCUCAUUCGACUUCGAGUCUAGACUACCUGUACCGUAAACCGACACAGGUGAGUGGGUUGAAUAAACUAAGGGGAGCGAGAUAACUCUCUCUAAGGAACUCGGCAAAUUGGCUCUGUACCUUCGGAAGAAAGAGUGCCCCUCGCACAGGCGGGGGGCCACAGUGAAGAGAUCCAGGCGACUGUUUACCAAAAACACAGGUCUCCGCAAAGUCGUAAGACGACGUAUGGGGGCUGACACCUGCCCAGUGCCAGAAGGUUAAAGAAGUUGGUCAAUCUUUGAUGAAGCUAACAACUGAAGCCCUGGUGAACGGCGGCAGUAACUAUAACUGUCCUAAGGUAGCGAAAUUCCUUGUCGGGUAAGUUCCGACCCGCACGAAAGGUGUAACGAUCUGGAUACUGUCUCAGAGAGAGACUCGGUGAAAUAAAACUAUCUGUGAAGAUGCGGAUUACCUGCACACGGACAGAAAGACCCUAUGAAGCUUUACUGUAACCUGGAAUUGCUCUCAAGCUUAUCUUGCGCAGCUUAGGUGGGAGGCUAUGAACCUUUUCUUCCGGAAAGAGGGGAGCCAUCAGUGAGAUACCACUCUUGGUAAGCUGGAGCGCUCAGUCUUCACCGUCAUCCGGUAAGACGACAGUUUCAGGCGGGCAGUUUGACUGGGGCAGUCACCUCCCAAAAGGUAAUGGAGGUGUGCAAAGGUUCCCUCAGGCUGGACGGAAAUCAGCCAGAGAGUGUAAAAGCAAAAGGGAGCUUGACUGCGAGACUGACAUGUCAAGCAGAGACGAAAGUCGGCUUUAGUGAUCCGACGGUGCUGCGUGGAAAGGCCGUCGCUCAACGGAUAAAAGUUACUCUAGGGAUAACAGGCUGAUCUCCCCCAAGAGUUCACAUCGACGGGGAGGUUUGGCACCUCGAUGUCGGCUC